GCAAUCUGACCCUGCUCUUCAGAAACUGCUUAGUCAAAGCUUGUCUCCCAGCCUGGUCAGCUGCUUUCAGGUCAUUUUUUUUUUUUUUUUUUUUUUUUUAGUCUUCUACACCAACAGUCUGUGCUGAUUCAGGCUCUGUAUGUCCUAAACAGGAUCUCCAUUUAGUGGCACCACUCUCAACCUAGUAAUUCAAGCCAAAAAGCUGGGAGCCAGCUGUUACAUAUCCCCUGACAUGGAACUUGCCCAGUUUUACCAGACAAGGCUUGUGAGAAGCAUGAUUCAAAUUCUAUCUACAGAAGUUCAAGGGGCAAAAUCCUCCAUCUUACCCUGUUCUGGCGUCUAGACUGUGGUCCCCAAACCUUGUCUCAGCCUCUGUGGGCCUCACGCUCCCUGUCACAGAAACACUUUUGGUAAGGCCGCGGUAAUGAGGGUCCAGUGGCAGUAUAGCCACACAGCUGCUUGGCUGUGUUUCCUGCAGCCUAACCUCUUUUGGUUCCUGCCAUUUAUUCCUAAGUCUGGGCUUCUAGCCUUCCC
RNAcentral lists this long non-coding RNA (534 nucleotides) under Ictidomys tridecemlineatus (thirteen-lined ground squirrel). RNAcentral's name for it is "lncRNA (ENSSTOG00000029631.1)". The record is from RNAcentral. Lineage: Eukaryota; Metazoa; Chordata; Mammalia; Rodentia; Sciuridae.